GGUAGCGUGGCCGAGCGGUCUAAGGCGCUGGUUUAAGGUUUCGGAGGCGUGGGUUCGAAUCCCACCGCUGCCA
Molecule: non-coding RNA, 73 nt
Organism: Schistocerca gregaria
Lineage: Eukaryota; Metazoa; Arthropoda; Insecta; Orthoptera; Acrididae
Source: the annotation of a RefSeq genome assembly